This 453-nucleotide ribosomal RNA is filed under the name uncultured Porphyromonadaceae bacterium. Its description in RNAcentral is "partial 16S ribosomal RNA". It matches the Rfam family "Bacterial small subunit ribosomal RNA", at positions 341 to 792 of the family's 1533-position model. Lineage: Bacteria; Pseudomonadati; Bacteroidota; Bacteroidia; Bacteroidales; Porphyromonadaceae. The record is from RNAcentral.
ACGGGAGGCAGCAGUGAGGAAUAUUGGUCAAUGGACGAGAGUCUGAACCAGCCAAGUCGCGUGAAGGAAGACGGUUCUAUGGAUUGUAAACUUCUUUUGUCCGAGGGUAAAGUGAGAGAUGCGUCUCUUAUUGCAAGUAUCGGACGAAUAAGCAUCGGCUAACUCCGUGCCAGCAGCCGCGGUAAUACGGAGGAUGCGAGCGUUAUCCGGAUUUAUUGGGUUUAAAGGGUGCGUAGGCGGGAUGUUAAGUCAGCGGUUAAAUAGUGUAGCUCAACUAUACUUUGCCGUUGAAACUGGCGUUCUUGAGUGUAAACGAGGUAGGCGGAAUGUGACGUGUAGCGGUGAAAUGCUUAGAUAUGUCACAGAACCCCGAUUGCGAAGGCAGCUUACCAGGAUACAACUGACGCUGAGGCACGAAAGCGUGGGUAUCAAACAGGAUUAGAUACCCUGGUA